RNAcentral lists this transfer-messenger RNA (357 nucleotides) under Desulfobacteraceae. Its description in RNAcentral is "NBML01 sp002085465 Standard tmRNA". It matches the Rfam family "transfer-messenger RNA". Rfam says of the family: Bacterial tmRNA, also known as 10Sa RNA or SsrA, is named for its dual tRNA and mRNA-like properties. The record is from RNAcentral. Lineage: Bacteria; Pseudomonadati; Thermodesulfobacteriota; Desulfobacteria; Desulfobacterales. RNAcentral also lists the same sequence under 1 other name.
GGGGGCGAAAUGGCUUCGACGGAGAUUUUGAGGUCUAAGGUAGCAUACCGAGUCUUUUGUCAGCUCGUAAACUUGGCAGAGCAUAAACAUAAUCGCAGAUGAUUAUAAUUACGCUGUAGCAGCUUAGAGGCUGCUUCCGUCCUCCUGAAAUCCUUCUUGCAGAUUCAGGUCAGGACGUCAUUUAUGCAAGACCGCUUUUAAGACUGCCUGAUUCUUAAAAGUUAAAUUUUUCAGGCUAUACCGGUACGUAUCCAUCUUGAAGGAGACUGACCGGCCAAUUUUAAAUUUCAGGAUAAGUAUGUAGAAGCCUAGGUUGAUUGUUUUCGGACGCGGGUUCAACUCCCGCCGCCUCCACCA